RNAcentral lists this ribosomal RNA (2903 nucleotides) under Enterobacter cloacae BWH 43. Its description in RNAcentral is "bacterial LSU rRNA". It matches the Rfam family "Bacterial large subunit ribosomal RNA". The record is from RNAcentral. Lineage: Bacteria; Pseudomonadati; Pseudomonadota; Gammaproteobacteria; Enterobacterales; Enterobacteriaceae.
UUAAGCGACUAAGCGUACACGGUGGAUGCCCUGGCAGUCAGAGGCGAUGAAGGACGUGCUAAUCUGCGAAAAGCGCCGGCGAGGUGAUAUGAACCUUUGACCCGGCGAUGUCCGAAUGGGGAAACCCAGUGUGUUCCGACACACUAUCGUUAACUGAAUACAUAGGUUAACGAGGCGAACCGGGGGAACUGAAACAUCUAAGUACCCCGAGGAAAAGAAAUCAACCGAGAUUCCCCCAGUAGCGGCGAGCGAACGGGGAGCAGCCCAGAGUCUGAAUCAGCUUGUGUGUUAGUGGAAGCGUCUGGAAAGUCGCACGGUACAGGGUGACAGUCCCGUACACGAAAAUGCACAGGUUGUGAACUCGAAGAGUAGGGCGGGACACGUGGUAUCCUGUCUGAAUAUGGGGGGACCAUCCUCCAAGGCUAAAUACUCCUGACUGACCGAUAGUGAACCAGUACCGUGAGGGAAAGGCGAAAAGAACCCCGGCGAGGGGAGUGAAAAAGAACCUGAAACCGUGUACGUACAAGCAGUGGGAGCACCUUCGUGGUGUGACUGCGUACCUUUUGUAUAAUGGGUCAGCGACUUAUAUUCUGUAGCAAGGUUAACCGUAUAGGGGAGCCGAAGGGAAACCGAGUCUUAACUGGGCGUUAAGUUGCAGGGUAUAGACCCGAAACCCGGUGAUCUAGCCAUGGGCAGGUUGAAGGUUGGGUAACACUAACUGGAGGACCGAACCGACUAAUGUUGAAAAAUUAGCGGAUGACUUGUGGCUGGGGGUGAAAGGCCAAUCAAACCGGGAGAUAGCUGGUUCUCCCCGAAAGCUAUUUAGGUAGCGCCUCGUGAACUCAUCUUCGGGGGUAGAGCACUGUUUCGGCUAGGGGGCCAUCCCGGCUUACCAACCCGAUGCAAACUACGAAUACCGAAGAAUGUUAUCACGGGAGACACACGGCGGGUGCUAACGUCCGUCGUGAAGAGGGAAACAACCCAGACCGCCAGCUAAGGUCCCAAAGUCAUGGUUAAGUGGGAAACGAUGUGGGAAGGCACAGACAGCCAGGAUGUUGGCUUAGAAGCAGCCAUCAUUUAAAGAAAGCGUAAUAGCUCACUGGUCGAGUCGGCCUGCGCGGAAGAUGUAACGGGGCUAAACCAUGCACCGAAGCUGCGGCAGCGACGCGUAUGCGUUGUUGGGUAGGGGAGCGUUCUGUAAGCCGUUGAAGGUGUGCUGUGAGGCAUGCUGGAGGUAUCAGAAGUGCGAAUGCUGACAUAAGUAACGAUAAAGCGGGUGAAAAGCCCGCUCGCCGGAAGACCAAGGGUUCCUGUCCAACGUUAAUCGGGGCAGGGUGAGUCGACCCCUAAGGCGAGGCCGAAAGGCGUAGUCGAUGGGAAACAGGUUAAUAUUCCUGUACUUGGUGUUACUGCGAAGGGGGGACGGAGAAGGCUAUGUUAGCCGGGCGACGGUUGUCCCGGUUUAAGCAUGUAGGCGGAGGUUCCAGGUAAAUCCGGUACCUUUUAACGCUGAGGUGUGAUGACGAGGCACUACGGUGCUGAAGUAACAAAUGCCCUGCUUCCAGGAAAAGCCUCUAAGCAUCAGGUAACACGAAAUCGUACCCCAAACCGACACAGGUGGUCAGGUAGAGAAUACCAAGGCGCUUGAGAGAACUCGGGUGAAGGAACUAGGCAAAAUGGUGCCGUAACUUCGGGAGAAGGCACGCUGAUAUGUAGGUGAAGCCCCUGCGGGUGGAGCUGAAAUCAGUCGAAGAUACCAGCUGGCUGCAACUGUUUAUUAAAAACACAGCACUGUGCAAACACGAAAGUGGACGUAUACGGUGUGACGCCUGCCCGGUGCCGGAAGGUUAAUUGAUGGGGUUAGCGGCAACGCGAAGCUCUUGAUCGAAGCCCCGGUAAACGGCGGCCGUAACUAUAACGGUCCUAAGGUAGCGAAAUUCCUUGUCGGGUAAGUUCCGACCUGCACGAAUGGCGUAAUGAUGGCCAGGCUGUCUCCACCCGAGACUCAGUGAAAUUGAACUCGCUGUGAAGAUGCAGUGUACCCGCGGCAAGACGGAAAGACCCCGUGAACCUUUACUAUAGCUUGACACUGAACACUGGUCCUUGAUGUGUAGGAUAGGUGGGAGGCUUUGAAGCGUGGACGCCAGUCUGCGUGGAGCCAUCCUUGAAAUACCACCCUUUAAUGGCUGGUGUUCUAACGUAGACCCGUAAUCCGGGUUGCGGACAGUGUCUGGUGGGUAGUUUGACUGGGGCGGUCUCCUCCCAAAGAGUAACGGAGGAGCACGAAGGUUAGCUAAUCCUGGUCGGACAUCAGGAGGUUAGUGCAAUGGCAUAAGCUAGCUUGACUGCGAGAGUGACGGCUCGAGCAGGUGCGAAAGCAGGUCAUAGUGAUCCGGUGGUUCUGAAUGGAAGGGCCAUCGCUCAACGGAUAAAAGGUACUCCGGGGAUAACAGGCUGAUACCGCCCAAGAGUUCAUAUCGACGGCGGUGUUUGGCACCUCGAUGUCGGCUCAUCACAUCCUGGGGCUGAAGUAGGUCCCAAGGGUAUGGCUGUUCGCCAUUUAAAGUGGUACGCGAGCUGGGUUUAGAACGUCGUGAGACAGUUCGGUCCCUAUCUGCCGUGGGCGCUGGAGAAUUGAGGGGGGCUGCUCCUAGUACGAGAGGACCGGAGUGGACGCAUCACUGGUGUUCGGGUUGUCAUGCCAAUGGCACUGCCCGGUAGCUAAAUGCGGAAAAGAUAAGUGCUGAAAGCAUCUAAGCACGAAACUUGCCCCGAGAUGAGUUCUCCCUGACUCCUUGAGAGUCCUGAAGGAACGUUGAAGACGACGACGUUGAUAGGUCGGGUGUGUAAGCGCAGCGAUGCGUUGAGCUAACCGAUACUAAUGAACCGUGAGGCUUAACCUU